GGGCAGCUACACAGCGAUGUGAUGCUAAUCUCCAAACCAUGUCUCAGUUCGGAUCGGAGUCUGCAACUCGACUCCGUGAAGCUGGAUUCGCUAGUAAUCGCGCAUCAGCCAUGGCGCGGUGAAUACGUUCCCGGGCCUUGUACACACCGCCCGUCAAGCCAUGGGAGCCGGGGGUACCUGAAGUCCGUAACCGCGAGGAUCGGCCUAGGGUAAAACUGGUGACUGGGGCUAAGUCGUAACAAGGUACC
This 248-nucleotide ribosomal RNA is filed under the name uncultured bacterium. RNAcentral's name for it is "partial 16S ribosomal RNA". It matches the Rfam family "Bacterial small subunit ribosomal RNA", at positions 1244 to 1500 of the family's 1533-position model. The record is from RNAcentral.